RNAcentral lists this ribosomal RNA (370 nucleotides) under Healyella syriaca. RNAcentral's name for it is "partial 12S ribosomal RNA". It matches the Rfam family "Bacterial small subunit ribosomal RNA", at positions 875 to 1415 of the family's 1533-position model. The record is from RNAcentral. Lineage: Eukaryota; Metazoa; Annelida; Clitellata; Crassiclitellata; Lumbricidae.
AAGUCGAAAAAUACGAACAAUUGUUUAAAACUCAAAGAAUUUGGCGGUGUCUUAUCAAAUCAGGGGAACCUGUCUCAUAACUCGAUAAUCCACGAAAUCCUUACCCCCUAAAGAAUAAUCAGCAUGUGUACUGCCGUCGUAAGCACACCUCUGAAAGUACUGAGUGUGCAAUUAAUGAUUGAACCUCAUAUACGUCAGGUCAAAGUGCAGCUAAUAAGAGGGAAGAUGAUGGGUUACAUUCAUAAUAAUGAUACGAAAUAGAACCCAAAUAAGGCCUACGAAGGUGGACUUGAAAGUAAUUUAGAUACAUAUCAUAAUGAAUUAGAAUCUAAGACAUGCACACAUCGCCCGUCACUCUCGCCAAAAGGUG